UAGGGAAUUUUCGGCAAUGGGGGGAAACCCUGACCGAGCAAUGCCGCGUGAAUGAUGAAAUUCUUCGGAAUGUAAAAUUCUGUUGUGAGGGAAGAAAGGUAGUAUCAGGAAAUGGGUAUUACUUGACGGUACCUUACUAGAAAGCCCCGGCUAACUAUGUGCCAGCAGCCGCGGUAAUACAUAGGGGGCGAGCGUUAUCCGGAAUUAUUGGGCGUAAAGCGUGCGUAGGUGGCCGUUUAAGUCUGUCGUGAAAGCCCACAGCUUAACUGUGGAGGGUCGAUGGAAACUGGAUGGCUUGAAUCUAGAAGAGGUAAGUGGAAUUCCAUGUGUAGCGGUAAAAUGCUUAGAUAUAUGGAGGAACACCAGUGGCGAAGGCGGCUUACUGGUCUAGCAUUGACGCUGAGGCACGAAAGCGUAGGUAGCAAACAGGAUUAGAUACCCUGGUAGU
RNAcentral lists this ribosomal RNA (448 nucleotides) under uncultured Acholeplasma sp. RNAcentral's name for it is "bacterial SSU rRNA". It matches the Rfam family "Bacterial small subunit ribosomal RNA", at positions 355 to 794 of the family's 1533-position model. The record is from RNAcentral. Lineage: Bacteria; Bacillati; Mycoplasmatota; Mollicutes; Acholeplasmatales; Acholeplasmataceae.